Molecule: ribosomal RNA, 1425 nt
Filed under: Triticum aestivum (bread wheat)
Lineage: Eukaryota; Viridiplantae; Streptophyta; Magnoliopsida; Poales; Poaceae
Description: partial small subunit ribosomal RNA
Source: RNAcentral
AUGGCCGUGUCGACGGAGCUGCCGGAGGCCGGGUCCCCGCAGGAGCAGGGGACGGAGGCGACGGCGCCGCCUCCCCCCGGCCUGCGGUACAACUCGCCGCUGGUCCAGGUGUCGCUGAUCGGGCUGGUGUGCUUCUGCUGCCCGGGCAUGUUCAACGCGCUGUCCGGGCUGGGCGGGGGCGGGCAGUUGGACCACACCACGGCCGACAACGCCAACACGGCGCUCUACGCCUGCUUCGCCAUCUUCGGCGUCCUCGGCGGCGCCGCCCACAACCUGCUCGGCCCGCGCCUCACGCUGCUCCUGGGGUCCCUCACCUACCCGCUCUACGCCGCCUCCUUCCUCUACUACAACCACCGCAAGUCCCAGACGUUCCCCAUCAUCGCCGGCGCGCUGCUCGGCGCCGGCGCGGGCCUGCUCUGGGCGGCGCAGGGCGCCAUCAUGACCUCCUACCCGCCGCCCAACCGCCGGGGCAGCUACAUCUCGCUCUUCUGGUGCCUCUUCAACCUGGGCGGCGUCCUGGGGGGCCUCCUCCCCUUCUCCUUCAACUACGCCCGCACCGACGCCGGCAGCGUGAACGACGCCACCUACGGGGCCUUCAUCGGCUUCAUGCUCCUCGGCGCCGCGCUCACCUUCCUCGUCCUCCCCCCCGCCAGGAUCGUCCGGGACGACGGCACCCGCGCCACCAGGGUCACCUACUCCUCGGUGUCCACCGAGGGGUGGGAGAUCCUCAAGCUCUUCACCAACUGGAGGAUGCUGCUCAUCCUGCCCGCCGCAUGGGCCAGCAACUUCUUCUACACCUACCAGUUCAACAACGUCAAUGGCCUCCUCUUCACCCUGAGGACCAAGGGCCUCAACAAUGUUUUCUAUUGGGGCGCGCAGAUGAUCGGCUCCGCCGGCAUCGGAUACUUCCUCGACUUCGGCUUCGCCAGCCGCCGGAAGAGGGGCCUCAUGGGCGUCGCCGCCGUCGCCCUCCUCGGCACCGCCAUCUGGGCCGGCGGCCUCGCCAACCAGCUGAGGUAUCUCGACGGCGAAUUCCCCGACAAGAUCGACUUCAAGGAGGGCCGCCGCUACGCCGGGCCAUUCCUGCUCUACUUCAGCUACGGCCUCAUGGACGCCAUCUUCCAGAGCCUCAUCUACUGGAUCAUCGGCGCCCUCGCAAACGACUCACAGAUCCUAAGCAGAUACGUUGGGUUCUACAAGGGUGUGCAGAGUGCAGGAGCGGCCGUGGCAUGGCAGGUGGACACCCACAAGACGUCCCUGCUGUCGCAGCUGAUCGUGAACUGGGGGCUGUGCACCGUCAGCUACCCGCUGCUGGCGGUCCUGGUGCUCCUGGCCGUCAAGGACGAGGACUACUCGGUGUCAAACGUUGACGACGGCGGCAAGGAGAAAGACGCCAAGAUGGCCGCGCCGUCAAGCUUCCACUGA